Ribosomal RNA from Lepisosteus oculatus (spotted gar), 119 nucleotides. The record is from Ensembl. Lineage: Eukaryota; Metazoa; Chordata; Actinopteri; Semionotiformes; Lepisosteidae.
GCCAGCAGCCAUAUCACCCCGCAACUCACAACUGGCAACCCACUGAAGCUAAGCAGGUGUGAGCCUGGUCAGUACCUGGAUGGGAGACCUCCUGGGAAAAACUAAGGUUGCUGCUGGAA